AUCUGGAGCUGAGUUCAGGAGUGUAAAUUUUGCAGGACAAAUUUACGUUAAAUGUAAGGAAGAAUUUCUGACAUAGAGAAUUAUAAAACAUAAAAAAAAUGGCUUGCCACUGGAGAUGGUAGCAUUUCUGUCUUUAAAAGCCUAUAAAAUAGUGGAGGCUGCCCUUUGCCUGCAGUGGUUUAGAUAUGGUUCUAAAUGGAAGUGGCCUCUUUGGGAAAGUGGUGGACCAGGUGACCUUUCACAGUCUCUCUUAGUCUCUAAAUUUCAUUACUCUCUAAUCCUAUUAAAGAGAUCAAAUACAUGCAAUAAUGCCCACUCAUUCAGAGGUCAAGCUUCAGAAACCUCAGGAGUUGAUAUAUAGCUUUAAACUUAAAAGGGGAAAAAAGAAAGAAAAAGGGAGCUCUCAAGCAUGAAGAAAUAUUAACUAUAAUACUCAGACCAUUAUACCUAUUCUACUGGAAAGAUAGAGCCAUUCUCAGACCUCUUCUAGAGGUAAAAUAAGACAUCAGAUAAGGAUAAUAGUGCAAGAAAGAAACAAAUCUAAAAGAACAGAAGAAUUAAGCUAUUUUUUUAAGGGAUCUGACUCUUCUACAUCUCAAGUCCCUGAAAGCAUUACUACGGUAUACUAUAACUAAAUUAUUAUAUCAUAAUAAUUACCCUAAAUUUGUAUUAAAAAUUUUUAAUUACUUUAACUAUUGACUGUUUAAUAUAUUUAUAAAUACAUAUAUUUGUUUAUAAAAUUUUUAUUUAUAGAAGUUUACAAAAAUUAUCAAAGUUAAAAACUUAAGAACUUUAGGAGUUCCCAUUGUGUCUCAGUGGGUUACAAACCCAACUAGCAUCCAGGAGCAUGUGGGUCUGACCCCUGGCCUUGCUCAUUGGGUUAGGAUUCAGUGUUGCUGUGAGCUGCAUAGUAGGUCACAGAUGUGGCUCAGAUCCCAUGUUGCUAUGGCUGUGGUGUAAGCCAGAAGUCGCAGCUCUGAUUAAACCCCUAGCCUGGGAACUUCCAUUUGCUGCAGGUGCGGUCCAAAAAAAACCAAAAACAAACAAACAAACAAAAAUUUUAAAGGAAUAAAUCUAAGCUAUAUGCCAGGUAAGUGUGUAUAUUUUAUUGCCUAUUAUUUUUAAUAAUAUUUUUAGAAUCCGUUAGUAAGAUAGAAAAAAAUCAGUGUAAUAACAUAGAGGAAAUCUCUCAGCCAAUGUGUGUUGUUUUGGAAAGUGGUAUAGCAGUUGUUUGGGUUAUUCUUACCAUCCACUUUAGAUCUCAGUCCUAUUUAAUUGUAAUGGGUUGUUUUUAGAUACACAUUUCUCACCAACUCAUUCUUCUCUACUUAACCUUUCAAAUAAAUUAUUUAUAUGUCACUUUUCCAAAAGAGUUGAGGUGGCUUAUAGAAAUAGAUAAUUAUGAUACAACAAAAUGUAAAUAAGUAAAUAAUAAAGAAAGAAAGAAGAAAAUUAGGAUGAAAAAAAUAGAAGUGGUAAAGCAAGUGCAACACAGGUAUAAAAUCAGAAUACAAACUAUGCAUUUUUGUUAGAACCUGUUCUAUUGCAAGAAGUAGGCAGAAUUGGCUAUGUUUUCAAAAUUCUUUUUCUUAAUUAUCUAUCAUCAAUUCAGCCUUGCCAUCAGCUCUUCUAAGUUCCUCUCUGCACUGCACAAGAGAAUUUGGAAAUACAUUUCUCAAAAUCUCUUUCCCAUAUUGUCCAGGUUAGAGUAUGCUAAGGAAGAACACAGCAUGCCUGUGGGUUUGGAAAGCAAAAGUAAAAAGAAGCCAUAGUCUAUAGAAGCAGAGGCAGACAUGAGAAUAUAACUGCUUCCAAUGAGGCUUGAGAAUCCACUCCCUUUGCUCCUAUAAACUGUAAUCUUUAGAAGUGACAAACUUUACACAAGCCACAGAUUUUCUGGCAGUUAUACAAAACUCUGACUCUUCAAAUUAUAAUUCUUCAUACUUGGUAAGCAUAGAGUGACUUCUGUUUUUCUGUCCAAAUCCUGGCUGGUGUAGUUUCAUAGAGGCCAACACCGAAAGAAAGCCUACUAGGCAUUUAAUUCACCAUAGCUAUAAAACACGGACAAACCAUUUGUUCAAAAGAAAUCCAGUUUUCACUGUUAUAGAACACUGAAAUAAUUUUUCCUGGAGUUCUCAUAAGGAACAAGUGUUUGACAAGGUUUUUACAAUAUGCAUGAUAGUGCACUUCCUGUGACUGUUUCUUAUAAUGUCCCUCAACACCAGCUGAUGGGCAUAAAUCCAAAAGGCAAUUCUUUACAAGCAACUCUACAAGCGGCUAAAACAAUGCAAAACAAGUAUGCAGUUCUCUGAUGGCCUGGUUAAAUCCAAAUACAAAAUUUAGAACAACCAAAAAGAGUAGAUUUAUAACAUAAACUUAAGGAAAUUUUUACAAUAUCUUCUACUAGAAUAAAAUAUUAGUAGCACUGAGCAAAAAAAUAUGUAAGUAAAUACAGCUUCAUAUACCAGACAAUGAUUUGAAAAACUGGACAAAGUCAGCUUUGCGGUCUUGAUUUCUACAACCACGACCUCACCCUCGAAAUCCAUCCUUUAGGAAUUUAUGAAUAGCUCAGACUCUUUCCUUACUAGCUUGAUUGAACAACUCAAUAAGGAGAAGUUUAUAAUUGGAUUUCAACUUGAAAAUUUCCCAAAUGGUCUCUUUACUAGCCUUGCCAAGUUUUUUCCUCCUAUGUAGCAAUCCUUGCCAAAUAAGGCACUAAAAGAAUAAACCUAAGUAUUGAGCUAAUAAAACUGCUACCCAUUUGUCAGUAAUUUUUGACAAGAAUGAAAUAGGUAUUAAUCUCAGAUAGCUGAAGAACAUCACCAGAUUGAAAGUCUUGCAGUUCACGUCUAUAUUCUCAGCCUCUUUAUCUCUCUUACCAUUUCUACCAUGACAGCAAACAGGCCCUGGAAUAUCUCUGCCGCAUAUUUCAGAUUUAACUGAAGGGGAAAAUGGUUACUUUCUACAUAGUCUAAAUGUUCAAAUUAGGACAAUAGUGUACAAAAAUGACUACUAAUAACAAGUUCUAUGGAUGUGACAUUGAGAAAGGGGAACAAAAUAAAUAAUUUCAUAGGUCUCAAUCAAGUUUUUUAAUAAAUAUAUUUAGGAAGAAUAUUUUCAUGUAGAUGUAGCACCAGUCCUUAAAAAAAUGACCUGCAAGACCCCAGCCACUCUUCCCCAAAAGCUUCAGCUGUCAAACCUAAUAUCAUAUCUGGCAUUCCAGUAAACCAACAUAAUUAUUACUUAUUUAAGCAACUAUUUUUUGAGUAUUCACUGGGUGCUCAGUAUUACUUAAACCUCUGAAGAUAUAGUAGUUAAAAAGCUGACAAAAAUCUCUUGUUCUUGAGGCAUUGAUUAUAUUGGGGGAAGAAAGAUCAAAAAGGUAAAUAAAAUAUGGAUCAUUAAAAUGACAGGUGAUAAGAAGAAAAAGAGAGCCACAAAGGGGGAUAGAAAGUUCAGAAAUUGGAGAAGAGCUUGGGCUUAUCAGACACAACUUAGAAUAGAUUUACAAGGAGAUCCUGCUGAACAGCAUUGAGAACUAUGUCUAGAUACUCAUGUUGCAACAGAACAAAGGGUGGGGGAAAAAAUGUAAUUGUAAUGUAUACAUGUAAGGAUAACCUGACCCCCUUGCUGUACAGUGGGAAAAUAAAAAACAAUAAAAAAAAAAAAAA
RNAcentral lists this long non-coding RNA (3671 nucleotides) under Sus scrofa (pig). RNAcentral describes it as "lncRNA (ENSSSCG00055013785.1)". Lineage: Eukaryota; Metazoa; Chordata; Mammalia; Artiodactyla; Suidae. The record is from RNAcentral.